Molecule: ribosomal RNA, 468 nt
Filed under: uncultured bacterium
Lineage: Bacteria
Description: partial 16S ribosomal RNA
Rfam family: Bacterial small subunit ribosomal RNA
Source: RNAcentral
GACGAACGCUGGCGGCGUGCUUAACACAUGCAAGUCGAACGGAAAGGCCCUGCUUUUGUGGGGUGCUCGAGUGGCGAACGGGUGAGUAACACGUGAGUAACCUGCCCUUGACUUUGGGAUAACUUCAGGUAACUGGGGCUAAUACCGGAUAGGAGCUCCUGCUGCAUGGUGGGGGUUGGAAAGUUUCGGCGGUUGGGGAUGGACUCGCGGCUUAUCAGCUUGUUGGUGGGGUAGUGGCUUACCAAGGCUUUGACGGGUAGCCGGCCUGGGGGGGUGACCGGCAACAUUGGGACUGGGAUACGGCCCAGACUCCUACGGGAGGCAGCAGUGGGGAAUAUUGCACAAUGGGCGGAAGCCGGAUGCAGCAACGCCGCGUGCGGGAUGACGGCCUUCGGGUUGUAAACCGCUUUCGCCUGUGACGAAGCGUGAGUGACGGUAAUGGGUAAAGAAGCACCGGCUAACUACGUG